RNAcentral lists this ribosomal RNA (477 nucleotides) under uncultured organism. RNAcentral describes it as "partial 16S ribosomal RNA". It matches the Rfam family "Bacterial small subunit ribosomal RNA", at positions 333 to 801 of the family's 1533-position model. The record is from RNAcentral.
ACACUCCUGCGGGAGGCAGCAGUGGGGAAUUUUGGACAAUGGGCGAAAGCCUGAUCCAGCAAUGCCGCGUGAGUGAAGAAGGCCUUCGGGUUGUAAAGCUCUUUUGUCAGGGAAGAAACGGUGAGAGCUAAUAUCUCUUGCUAAUGACGGUACCUGAAGAAUAAGCACCGGCUAACUACGUGCCAGCAGCCGCGGUAAUACGUAGGGUGCAAGCGUUAAUCGGAAUUACUGGGCGUAAAGCGUGCGCAGGCGGUUUUGUAAGUCUGAUGUGAAAUCCCCGGGCUCAACCUGGGAAUUGCAUUGGAGACUGCAAGGCUAGAAUCUGGCAGAGGGGGGUAGAAUUCCACGUGUAGCAGUGAAAUGCGUAGAUAUGUGGAGGAACACCGAUGGCGAAGGCAGCCCCCUGGGUCAAGAUUGACGCUCAUGCACGAAAGCGUGGGGAGCAAACAGGAUUAGAUACCCGUGUAGUCCCAUGAU